CACGUAGGGCGCAAGCGUUGUCCGGAAUCAUUGGGCGUAAAGGGCGUGUAGGCGGUUUGCUAAGUCAUGUGUGAAAGCCCUCGGCUUAACCGAGGAACGACGCAUGAAACUGGCAAGCUAGAGUACCAAAGAGGGGGGUGGAAUUCCCGGUGUAGCGGUGAAAUGCGUAGAGAUUUGGAGGAACACCGAUGGCGAAGGCAGCCUCCUGGGCUAGUACUGACGCUCAUGCACGAAAGCGUGGGGAGCAAACAGG
Molecule: ribosomal RNA, 253 nt
Filed under: uncultured bacterium
Lineage: Bacteria
Description: partial 16S ribosomal RNA
Rfam family: Bacterial small subunit ribosomal RNA
Source: RNAcentral